GGUGCGUUUGGCGCGCGCGGCCCGCGGAGGGGGCGGCGAUGGCGGGAGGCGGCGGCGGGCCCGGAGCGGGGCCGGUGGCGCAGGGGCUGAAGGAAGCGCUGGUGGAGACGCUGACGGGGAUCUUGUGCCCGGUGCAGGCGGUGCGAGCCGCUGCUGAGGAGCAGGUGAAGGUGCUGGAGGUGACGGAGGAAUUUGGUGUUCAUUUAGCAGAACUGACUGUGGAUCCUCAGGGAGCUCUGGCCAUCCGGCAGCUGGCAUCUGUCAUCCUGAAACAAUAUGUGGAAACUCACUGGUGCUCUCAGUCUGAAAAGUUCCGACCUCCAGAGACCACGGAAAGGGCAAAAGUUGCUAUUAGGGAGCUUCUGCCCAACGGGUUGAGGGAGUCUAUCAGCAAGGUGCGCUCGAGUGUUGCCUACGCCGUGUCAGCCAUCGCCCACUGGGACUGGCCCGAGGCAUGGCCUGAGCUCUUCAACCUCCUCAUGGAGAUGCUGGUCAGCGGCGAUGUCAAUGCAGUGCAUGGAGCCAUGAGAGUGCUCACAGAAUUUACCCGAGAAGUGACAGACAUACAGAUGCCACUUGUAGCUCCAGUCAUUCUUCCAGAGAUGUACAAAAUUUUCACAAUGGCAGAGGUGUAUGGGAUUCGGACAAGGUCUCGUGCAGUGGAGAUAUUUACAACGUGUGCCCACAUGAUCUGUAACAUGGAGGAGUUGGAAAAGGGUGCAGCSAAGGUCCUGAUUUUUCCUGUGGUGCAGCAGUUCACAGAAGCCUUUGUCCAGGCGCUGCAGAUGCCUGAUGGACCAACAUCAGAUAGUGGGUUUAAGAUGGAAGUUUUAAAGGCUGUGACAGCACUUGUGAAAAACUACCCAAAGCACAUGAUUUCAUCAAUGCAGCAGAUCCUGCCCAUUGUCUGGAACACCCUUACGGAAAGUGCUGCUUUUUAUGUGAGAACAGAAGUAAAUUACACAGAAGAGGUGGAGGAUCCUGUGGAUUCUGAUGGUGAAGUUUUGGGCUUUGAGAACCUGGUGUUCAGCAUAUUUGAAUUUGUUCAUGCCUUGUUGGAAAACAACAAAUUUAAGAGCACAGUGAAGAAGGCUCUGCCAGAACUGAUCUAUUACAUCCUGCUUUACAUGCAGAUUACAGAGGAGCAGAUAAAAGUUUGGACUGCGAAUCCACAGCAGUUUGUGGAGGAUGAAGAUGAUGAUACGUUUUCCUACACAGUGAGAAUUGCUGCUCAGGAUCUGUUGCUGGCUGUGGCUGCUGAUUUCCAGAAUGAGAGUGCAACUGCUCUGGCAGCAGCAGCUACAAGGCAUUUGCAGGAAGCUGAGCAAGCUAAAAACAGCGGCGCUGAGCACUGGUGGAAAAUACAUGAAGCAUGUAUGCUGGCCCURGGCUCAGUCAAGUCUAUAAUUACAGACAGUGUGAAGAAUGGGAGAAUACACUUUGAUAUGCAUGGCUUCCUGACAAAUGUGGUCUUGGCAGACCUCAACCUUUCAGUGUCUCCUUUCCUCCUGGGCCGGGCCCUGUGGGCUGCCAGCCGUUUCACUGUGGCCAUGUCUCCAGAGCUCAUCCAGCAGUUCCUGCAAGCCACUGUCAGUGGAUUGCACGAAACCCAGCCCCCCUCUGUCCGGAUCUCUGCAGUCAGAGCCAUCUGGGGCUACUGUGACCAGCUGAAGAUCUCCGAGAGCACCCAUGUGUUGCAGCCUUUCCUCCCCAGCAUUCUGGAUGGCUUGAUUCACUUGGCAACUCAGUUCAGCUCCGAGGUGCUGAACCUGGUGAUGGAGACGCUGUGCAUUGUGUGCACAGUGGACCCAGCAUUUACAGCCAGCAUGGAGAAUAAGAUCUGCCCCUUCACCAUUGCAAUAUUCCUCAAGUACAGUAACGAUCCCGUCGUUGCUUCUCUUGCCCAGGAUAUUUUUAAGGAGCUGGCUCAAAUAGAAGCCUGCCAGGGUCCAAUGCAGAUGAGGCUGAUCCCAACCCUUGUCAGCAUCAUGCAGGCCCCAGCUGACAAGAUCCCCGCGGGGCUAUGUGCAACUUCUAUUGAUAUACUGACCACAGUUGUGAGGAAUACAAAACCCCCUCUGUCACAACUCCUCAUCUGCCAGGCAUUCCCUGCAGUGGCACAGUGCAGCCUGAACACAGAUGACAACGCUACUAUGCAGAACGGUGGUGAGUGCCUGCGCGCGUAUGUGUCGGUGGCGCUGGAGCAGAUCGCACAGUGGCAYGACGAGCAGGGCCACAACGGGCUCUGGUACGUGAUGCAGGUGGUGAGCCAACUCCUGGACCCACGCACCUCRGAGUUCACCGCUGCCUUUGUGGGCAGGCUGGUCUCUACUUUAAUUUCGAAAGCUGGAAGUGAGCUGGGAGAGAAUCUGGACCAGAUCCUGAGAGCGAUCCUGAGUAAAAUGCAGCAAGCGGAGACGCUCAGUGUGAUGCAGUCCCUGAUCAUGGUGUUUGCUCACUUGGUUCACUCACAACUGGAGCCACUCCUGGAAUUCCUGUGCAGCCUGCCUGGCCCUACUGGCAAGCCCGCCUUGGAGUUCGUGAUGGCCGAGUGGAUGAGCCGGCAGCACCUCUUCUAUGGGCAGUAUGAAGGCAAAGUCAGCUCUGUUGCACUGUGCAAACUCCUGCAGUAUGGCAUCAACACAGAUGACAAGAGACUUCAGGACAUUAGGGUGAAGGGAGAAGAAAUAUUUAAUAUGGAUGAGGGAAUUCGGACACGAUCCAAGUCGGCCAAAAAUCCUGAGCGCUGGACAAACAUUCCUUUGUUAGUAAAAAUCUUAAAAUUAAUAAUAAAUGAACUCUCUAAUGCAAUGGAAGCAAAUGCAUCUAGACAGACAACGGCAGAUUGGAGCCAAGAUGAUUCAAAUGAUAUGUGGGAGGAUCAGGAAGAAGAUGAGGAUGAAGAUGAAGGCUUAGCAGGACAGUUCUUAUCAGAUAUUCUUUCCACAAAUAAGUAUGAUGAAGAUUACUAUGAAGAUGAUGAAGAGGAUGAUCCAGAUGCAUUAAAGGACCCUCUUUACCAAAUAGAUCUCCAGGCCUAUCUCACCGACUUCCUGUGCCAGUUUGCACAGCAGCCCUGCUAUGCCAUGUUCUCCGACCACCUCAAUGACAACGAGAAGCGAGUGCUGCAGGCCAUCGGAAUAUAGACCCACUCCAGAGACCACACCCACCAUAUCUGAACAAUAGGUUAUUUUUGGCUAAUUCCAYGUUUUAUGAUUGAACAUAAAACAUUUUCCAGUGUCUGCCUGCCUGGUCCAGGUGGACGAUGGCCUCGUAUUGAGCCUCAUCUUAACACACAUCUGCUAAGGGAAGGAAUCCUGAGAAAGCAGCAAGGACAUUGCACAUUGGUCUCACCACAGGAGCACUUUCAUUUUCCACAGUAACUUUCCAGGAAGUUCAUAAAGAUAAUGUGUCCUUAAUAUUUUUAAAAGGAAACUGUCUCUACCUGUGAAUGAGUUUCCCACAGCAGUCGGACAGAGAAAGGARCUGAGUCACUCAUGGAUUGCUUGAGAAGUGGGAAGGUUGUUCCUCUUGGCUGUUGUUCCUCCUCACGUAACACAGGGACACGUUCUGCACAUGCUGCUGGAGGAUGUUUGGGUAUUUCAUGGGAAUCACCUGGACAGAAAGGGAGUCCUGUGCUGUAUGUACCUGCUGCUUAAAACAACAGGCUGACGUGUUACAGAGUUUCCUUUUAAGAAAGGCACUUUUAUGUUCCUUUGUGGAAUAAUUUGCUUCGGUGUUGUAUCAAAACCUCCAUAACCUGGAGUCCUUCUGUGUCUCACUGGUCUCAUGUUGUGCCUGAGAAUGGGCAGGGCCAGGGUGGAACCCCCCCAUCCUCUGCAGACUCCUCUGAGCCAUCCUCAAUAUUUUGUGUGCCCAACUAUCUCUAUGAGAAGCGGAGUUUGAAGCCUGAUUUUUAUUGUCUAAUAAGGUACAAACUCYUCCCAUGCCAUCAGGUCUCAGUGUCUUUCUUUGCUGCGGAUUCUGUGGUCUAUAGGAAUAUCUAAUUAAACUGGGUGCUCUGACCCUCCURUCAUGCAGUCCAGUAAGAGUUUUGUUCUGAGGCCUUUCUCUCUCAGCUUUUGCUGAAAGGGCCAAGUUAAACAGAACAGUGCAGUCUUGAAAACCCACCAAGAAGCAGAUGGCUGCAGUGGUGUGUGUGCCCAUGGCUGUUCAGGAAGGUCAUGAGUGUCCUCAGAGGAACUGGUCCCAGCUCUGGCAAGAGGCAGGACCAGCAUUUUUUGCCCCGUGAGUCAGCAGCAGAGGCUCAAACCCAGCCAUCCAUGCUUCGAGGGAAGUGAAUACCAAACAUCUGUAAGUAUCCAGGUGUGUUCAGGGUGUCAGGAGGAAACAGCACAUUGAAGGCUGGUUAGCCUGGGCUCACAGAGGUGCUGGUGGGGUUUUUGUGUGCUCCAGUGAGAGUUGGAGCUGCUGUCCUGUGCCUCGGGGUCUUUAGACAAGUUGGAGGGGUGGAUUUAAACAAGACCUAUGAAAAAUGAGGCUGAUAUUACUACUGACACUGAGACAUCUARGGGUGUCUGUGUGAUUCCAAAGGUGUCUGUCUGAAAUUCCAAAAUUCUGGAUGGGCCAGUGUCAUGUUCCUGCUGGCGCUCAUCUGUGUUUUGGCUAAAAGCUGCUUUUCCAGCACUGUGAGAAGGGAGGAAUGGGAUAAGUGUCACUGUCUUUAUAUGUAAAGAGGCACCUGAGUUUCCCACAGCACAGUUGGACAGAGAAAGGCACUGGGUCCCUUAAGGAUUGUUUGAGAAGUGGAAAGGUUGUUCCUYUAGGCUGAAUUAGUGCUCUGCACUCUCCCUCCUGCUCAGGUGUAGCCUGAGCUGGCUGAGGAUGGAGUUGGUGCAUAUCAGCUGAAGCUUGGGAUGAUGACUGCCACUGGGAUGGCGUGGUUGUACAGCAACUGUUGAUGGCAAUUUCACCCUGGGCAGAGAACUACUCACCUUUGGCAAGAAAUACCUGACUCAAGCAAUCCCUAGGAAGAGGCUGGAUUGGAUGUGAGUCYAUGAGUGAGAUGGCUUGAGGGACCUCAGCAAAGUCUUGCUGGUGCUCAUGACUUCGUUGCUUUUUCUCUUUUCCAUUGUCCUCUUUUGUAACAAAAUUCUGAAGGCUCCAUGAUGUGCCUUUAUAAAGGAUUGUGUUGGCUGCAGGAACUAUGCUGAAAAAAACCCUCUGACCAGUAACAGCGAUUGCUCAGGAUGGAAACUGCUGGACUCUGUGAAGCAGUGUCUGAGGUCUGGUUUUGAGGUGCAGCAUUACUUGUGUUGUCUGCUAUUGCAAAGAAACGAAAUAGUCAUAGAGGUGACACCAUGUUAGGAAACAUAAACCAGGGAAAAACAAAGGGUGGGCUGUGGGCCAUGCACAGCCAAGGGCCGCUGUCACAGCUGCGUUGGUGCCUGGCACACAUGUCCUGCUCAGGGCUCGUCUCUGGGGAUGAACUGGCCUUGUUUGCUCUUGGGGACUUUUUUUUGUUUUAACAAAUAAACUCUUGUAAUGUAGAACACCACCUGCCUUUUCCUGUAAAUCCCGUCUGUACCGGAGCAGCUC
RNA transcript from Malurus melanocephalus (red-backed fairy wren), 5559 nucleotides. It is a transcript of the gene named importin 9, with no coding region annotated. The transcript is spliced from 25 exons. The record is from RefSeq and is a predicted model, not a curated record. NCBI's taxonomy places the organism in Eukaryota, Metazoa, Chordata, Aves, Passeriformes, Maluridae.